Long non-coding RNA from Cottoperca gobio, 6117 nucleotides. The record is from Ensembl. NCBI's taxonomy places the organism in Eukaryota, Metazoa, Chordata, Actinopteri, Perciformes, Bovichtidae.
AUGGAAACCAUGCUGGAGGGAAUGGACAUAUUUGACACUGCUCCAACUGAAGAUGUUAGUGAUCAAGUUAAAGAAAAUGCACAUGUGGGCACAUGUGUUGGCAUUGACUUACCUUCAAGUUCAGCAGUAGAUCAACAGACUAUCAACCAAUCAAAUGUCAGGGAGAAUCCAGAUGAAGAACCUCCCAAUGUGUGUUCUGUAACAGAACAAGGAAACAAGGAAAGAGAUGAGGACACAGAGUUGUUCUGGCUGGAUGGAAAUUUAAAGACCAACUAUUUGAUGAGUGAGUCUCAGAUGAAGUCAGAAGAUAAAGAGUCCUCUAUCAUGUUGGAGAUAAGCACAGAACAAGACAACCUCAGAGAGCAUACAGAAACUGAAUGCAGCGUUGAACAAGCAAUAUUUCCAUCACCAGAAGAGGAGUUGCCCACAAUUGAGGAACAAAAGGAGAUUUUCAUUUUAUCUGAAUUCAAAGAUGCUCAUCAGUCAGAGGAUGAUGAUAAUAAAGUGCAUGAACAGGAGGUUAAGUUAACAGAAAUUCAAGAAAUGUCUCACAUGUAUUUCUCAUCUGAACGUGGGACACAUGAUGCCACAGACAAUUCUGAAAUAAUUUCUGGUGACCUGACAGACCAAACUGAAAUCAGAGACACAUACCAAUCUGAGUUGGUUGUGAAAAGAACUGAUGAUGCUCCUACCAAUCAGGACAUUUUGAAUCCUGAUGACAAACAGGAUGAACAUCCUACAAAACAAAGCAACUUUGAGGAUUCAGAGCAGAAAGAUGAGGAUUAUCAUGUUUCUGAUACCAAGGAACCACAGGUCAGUGACAUUGAAAGAGUAGACUCUGCACUGGGUCAGGUGUACGAGAUUGAAGGCAGAGUAGAGUAUGAUAUACAACCCAGUGCUGAACAAACAGGUCAUCAGGAUAAGGAAGGACUCUUAUCUGAAAUGGAGGAGAGUGAAUCCCAACCUCAGCAAAACAUCGGCUUCAACCCCAUUGGGAACAGAAGAAAACUGGGGUCUAGCCGCAGAAAUAAAGGAAGACAACAUGUCAAGGACUCUGCUGCUGAAUCAUACCACAAACCUACAGAGGAAGUUGUUAGUAAUACCAGGGAUAAUGAACCACUUGAAACAACAGAAAUGUCAUUAACAAAAGAGACAUCAGUGCAGGAACAAUCAAUGGAAACCAUGCUGGAGGGAAUGGACAUAUUUGUGACUGCUCCGACUGAAGAUGUUGAGGAACAAAAUGAGAUUUUUAAUUUGUCUGAAGUCACAGAUGCUCAUCAGUCAGAGGAUGAUUUAAAUAAAGUGCAUGAACAGGAGGUUAAGUUAACAGAAAUUCAAGAAAUGUCUCACAUGUAUUUCUCAUCUGAACGUGUGACACAUGAUGCCACAGACAAUUCUGAAAAUAUUUCUGGUGACCUGACUAUAACUACAAAAGAAAGCAACGUUGAAGAUUUAGAGCAGAAAGAUGAGGAUUAUCAUGUUUCUGAUACCAAGGAACCACAAAUCAGUGACAUUGAAAAAGUAGACUCUGCACUGGGUCAGGUGUACGAGAUUGAAGGCAGAGUACAGUAUGAUAUACAACCCAGUGCUGAACAAACAGGUCAUCAGGAGAAGGAAGGACUCUUCUCUGAAAUGGAGGAGAGUGAAUCCCAACCUCAGCAAAACAUCGGCUUCAACCCCAUUGGGAACAGAAGAAAACUGGGGUCUAGCCGCAGAAAUAAAGGAAGACAACAUGUCAAGGACUCUGCUGCUGAAUCAUACCACAAACCUACAGAGGAAGUUGUUAGUAAUACCAGGGAUAAUGAACCACUUGAAACAACAGAAGGAUCAUUCACAAAAGAGACAUCAGUGCAGGAACAAUUAAUGGAAACCAUGCUGGAGGGAAUGGACAUAUUUGACACUGCUCCGACUGAAGAUGUUAGUGAUCAAGUUAAAGAAAAUGCACACGUGGGCACAUGUGUUGGCAUUGACUUACCUUCAAGUUCAGCAGUAGAUCAACAGACUAUCAACCAAUCAAAUGUCAGGGAGAAUCCAGAUGAAGAACCUCCCAAUGUGUGUUCUGUAACAGAACAAGGAAACAAGGAAAGAGAUGAGGACACAGAGUUGUUCUGGCUGGAUGGAAAUUUAAAGACCAACUAUUUGAUGAGUGAGUCUCAGAUGAAGUCAGAAGAUAAAGAGUCCUCUAUCAUGUUGGAGAUAAGCACAGAACAAGACAACCUCAGAGAGCAUACAGAAGGUGAAUGCAGCGUUGAACAAGCAAUAUUUCCAUCACCAGAAGAGGAGUUGCCCACAAUUGAGGAACAAAAGGAGAUUUUCAUUUUAUCUGAAUUCAAAGAUGCUCAUCAGUCAGAGGAUGAUGAUAAUAAAGUGCAUGAACAGGAGGUUAAGUUAACAGAAAUUCAAGAAAUGUCUCACAUGUAUUUCUCAUCUGAACGUGGGACACAUGAUGCCACAGACAAUUCUGAAAUAAUUUCUGGUGACCUGACAGACCAAACUGAAAUCAGAGACACAUACCAAUCUGAGUUGGUUGUGAAAAGAACUGAUGAUGCUCCUACCAAUCAGGACAUUUUGAAUCCUGAUGACAAACAGGAUGAACAUCCUACAAAACAAAGCAACUUUGAGGAUUCAGAGCAGAAAGAUGAGGAUUAUCAUGUUUCUGAUACCAAGGAACCACAGGUCAGUGACAUUGAAAGAGUAGACUCUGCACUGGGUCAGGUGUACGAGAUUGAAGGCAGAGUAGAGUAUGAUAUACAACCCAGUGCUGAACAAACAGGUCAUCAGGAGAAGGAAGGACUCUUAUCUGAAAUGGAGGAGAGUGAAUCCCAACCUCAGCAAAACAUCGGCUUCAACCCCAUUGGGAACAGAAGAAAACUGGGGUCUAGCCGAAGAAAUAAAGGAAGACAACAUGUCAAGGACUCUGCUGCUGAAUCAUACCACAAACCUACAGAGGAAGUUGUUAGUAAUACCAGGGAUAAUGAACCACUUGAAACAACAGAAAUGUCAUUAACAAAAGAGACAUCAGUGAAGGAACAAUCAAUGGAAACCAUGCUGGAGGGAAUGGACAUAUUUGUGACUGCUCCGACUGAAGAUGUUGAGGAACAAAAUGAGAUUUUUAAUUUGUCUGAAGUCACAGAUGCUCAUCAGUCAGAGGAUGAUGUAAAUAAAGUGCAUGAACAGGAGGUUAAGUUAACAGAAAUUCAAGAAAUGUCUCACAUGUAUUUCUCAUCUGAACGUGUGACACAUGAUGCCACAGACAAUUCUGAAAAUAUUUCUGGUGACCUGACUAUAACUACAAAAGAAAGCAACGUUGAAGAUUUAGAGCAGAAAGAUGAGGAUUAUCAUGUUUCUGAUACCAAGGAACCACAAGUCAGUGACAUUGAAAGUGUAGACUCUGCACUGGGUCAGGUGUACGAGAUUGAAGGCAGAGUAGAGUAUGAUAUACAACCCAGUGCUGAACAAACAGGUCAUCAGGAGAAGGAAGGACUCUUCUCUGAAAUGGAGGAGAGUGAAUCCCAACCUCAACAAAACAUCGGCUUCAACCCCAUUGGGAACAGAAGAAAACUGGGGUCUAGCCGCAGAAAUAAAGGAAGACACCAUGUCAAGGACUCUGCUGCUGAAUCAUACCACGAACCUACAGAGGAAGUUGUUGGAAAUACCAGGGAUAAUGAACCACUUGAAACAACAGAAGGAUCAUUAACAAAAGAGACAUCAGUGCAGGAACAAUCAAUGGAAACCAUGCUGGAGGGAAUGGACAUAUUUGACACUGCUCCAACUGAAGAUGUUAGUGAUCAAGUUAAAGAAAAUGCACAUGUGGGCACAUGUGUUGGCAUUGACUUACAUUCAAGUUCAGCAGUAGAUCAACAGACUAUCAACCAAUCAAAUGUCAGGGAGAAUCCAGAUGAAGAACCUCCCAAUGUGUGUUCUGUAACAGAACAAGGAAACAAGGAAAGAGAUGAGGACACAGAGUUGUUCUGGCUGGAUGGAAAUUUAAAGACCAACUAUUUGAUGAGUGAGUCUCAGAUGAAGUCAGAAGAUAAAGAGUCCUCUAUCAUGUUGGAGAUAAGCACAGAACAAGACAACCUCAGAGAGCAUACAGAAGGUGAAUGCAGCGUUGAACAAGCAAUAUUUCCAUCACCAGAAGAGGAGUUGCCCACAAUUGAGGAACAAAAGGAGAUUUUCAUUUUAUCUGAAUUCAAAGAUGCUCAUCAGUCAGAGGAUGAUGUAAAUAAAGUGCAUGAACAGGAGGUUAAGUUAACAGAAAUUCAAGAAAUGUCUCACAUGUAUUUCUCAUCUGAACGUGGGACACAUGAUGCCACAGACAAUUCUGAAAUAAUUUCUGGUGACCUGACAGACCAAACUGAAAUCAGAGACACAUACCAAUCUGAGUUGGUUGUGAAAAGAACUGAUGAUGCUCCUACCAAUCAGGACAUUUUGAAUCCUGAUGACAAACAGGAUGAACAUCCUACAAAACAAAGCAACUUUGAGGAUUCAGAGCAGAAAGAUGAGGAUUAUCAUGUUUCUGAUACCAAGGAACCACAGGUCAGUGACAUUGAAAGAGUAGACUCUGCACUGGGUCAGGUGUACGAGAUUGAAGGCAGAGUAGAGUAUGAUAUACAACCCAGUGCUGAACAAACAGGUCAUCAGGAGAAGGAAGGACUCUUAUCUGAAAUGGAGGAGAGUGAAUCCCAACCUCAGCAAAACAUCGGCUUCAACCCCAUUGGGAACAGAAGAAAACUGGGGUCUAGCCGCAGAAAUAAAGGAAGACAACAUGUCAAGGACUCUGCUGCUGAAUCAUACCACAAACCUACAGAGGAAGUUGUUAGUAAUACCAGGGAUAAUGAACCACUUGAAACAACAGAAAUGUCAUUAACAAAAGAGACAUCAGUGAAGGAACAAUCAAUGGAAACCAUGCUGGAGGGAAUGGACAUAUUUGUGACUGCUCCGACUGAAGAUGUUGAGGAACAAAAUGAGAUUUUUAAUUUGUCUGAAGUCACAGAUGCUCAUCAGUCAGAGGAUGAUGUAAAUAAAGUGCAUGAACAGGAGGUUAAGUUAACAGAAAUUCAAGAAAUGUCUCACAUGUAUUUCUCAUCUGAACGUGUGACACAUGAUGCCACAGACAAUUCUGAAAAUAUUUCUGGUGACCUGACUAUAACUACAAAAGAAAGCAACGUUGAAGAUUUAGAGCAGAAAGAUGAGGAUUAUCAUGUUUCUGAUACCAAGGAACCACAAGUCAGUGACAUUGAAAGUGUAGACUCUGCACUGGGUCAGGUGUACGAGAUUGAAGGCAGAGUAGAGUAUGAUAUACAACCCAGUGCUGAACAAACAGGUCAUCAGGAGAAGGAAGGACUCUUCUCUGAAAUGGAGGAGAGUGAAUCCCAACCUCAACAAAACAUCGGCUUCAACCCCAUUGGGAACAGAAGAAAACUGGGGUCUAGCCGCAGAAAUAAAGGAAGACACCAUGUCAAGGACUCUGCUGCUGAAUCAUACCACAAACCUACAGAGGAAGUUGUUAGUAAUACCAGGGAUAAUGAACCACUUGAAACAACAGAAGGAUCAUUCACAAAAGAGACAUCAGUGCAGGAACAAUUAAUGGAAACCAUGCUGGAGGGAAUGGACAUAUUUGACACUGCUCCAACUGAAGAUGUUAGUGAUCAAGUUAAAGAAAAUGCACAUGUGGGCACAUGUGUUGGCAUUGACUUACCUUCAAGUUCAGCAGUAGAUCAACAGACUAUCAACCAAUCAAAUGUCAGGGAGAAUCCAGAUGAAGAACCUCCCAAUGUGUGUUCUGUAACAGAACAAGGAAACAAGGAAAGAGAUGAGGACACAGAGUUGUUCUGGCAGGAUGGAAAUUUAAAGACCAACUAUUUGAUGAGUGAGUCUCAGAUGAAGUCAGAAGAUAAAGAGUCCUCUAUCACGUUGGAGAUAAGCACAGAACAAGACAACCUCAGAGAGCAUACAGAAACUGAAUGCAGCGUUGAACAAGCAAUAUUUCCAUCACCAGAAGAGGAGUUGCCCACAAUUGAGGAACAAAAGGAGAUUUUCAUUUAUCUGAAUUCAAAGAUGCUCAUCAGUCAGAGGAUGAUGAUAAUAAAGUGCAUGAACAGGAGGUUAAGUUAA